CGCCAAUGGAUGAGCCUGCACUUGAUUAGUUUGUUGGUGGGGUAAUGGCCUACCAAGACAAUGAUCAAUAGCUGAUUUGAGAGGAUGAUCAGCCACAUUGGGACUGAGACACGGCCCAAACUCCUACGGGAGGCAGCAGUAGGGAAUCUUGCACAAUGGGGGAAACCCUGAUGCAGCGAUGCCGCGUGAGUGAAGAAGGCCUUUGGGUUGUAAAGCUCUUGCGU
This 224-nucleotide ribosomal RNA is filed under the name uncultured bacterium KC301. Its description in RNAcentral is "partial 16S rRNA". It matches the Rfam family "Bacterial small subunit ribosomal RNA", at positions 216 to 439 of the family's 1533-position model. Lineage: Bacteria; Pseudomonadati; Pseudomonadota; Alphaproteobacteria. The record is from RNAcentral.